RNAcentral lists this ribosomal RNA (477 nucleotides) under uncultured bacterium. RNAcentral's name for it is "bacterial SSU rRNA". It matches the Rfam family "Bacterial small subunit ribosomal RNA", at positions 363 to 830 of the family's 1533-position model. The record is from RNAcentral.
UUUUCGCAAUGCCCGAAAGGGUGACGAAGCGACGCCGCGUGUGGGAAGAAGGCCUUCGGGUUGUAAACCACUGUCGGGAGUUAAGAAAUGCAAGGAUAUUAAUAGUGUCUUUGUUUGACUAAGGCUCCGGAGGAAGCCACGGCUAACUCUGUGCCAGCAGCCGCGGUAAUACAGAGGCGGCAAGCGUUGUUCGGAAUUAUUGGGCGUAAAGAGCACGUAGGCGGCUAUGUAAGUCGGUUGUGAAAGCCUUCCGCUCAACGGAAGAACAGCAUCCGAUACUACAUGGCUUGAGUGCGGGAGGGGAGAGUGGAACUUCUGGUGGAGCGGUGAAAUGCGUAGAUAUCAGAAGGAACGCCGGCGGCGAAAGCGGCUCUCUGGCCCAUAACUGACGCUGAGUGUGCGAAAGCUAGGGGAGCAAACGGGAUUAGAUACCCCGGUAGUCCUAGCCGUAAACGAUGGGCACUAAGUAGAGGGGUU